GGGAUGGCAGGUAGCCUGUUGUGCACUUUUGUGCCUCCAGGUGUAAUAGCUGACUGCAUCGGUUCUGUGCGGUACGUCGGAGACGGCGGCUUGUUGUGUGUGCAGGCGUGCUGUUGUGCUGACGGCUUCCAGUCUGGUUGCCUUGUUGCUUGUGAACGCAGGCCGGGUGAUGGCUUGUUGCUGUUCAGUGCGCAGUUGCGUUUGUGACACUAUGACAGGGCCAACAGUCUGUGGUGUAGUGGUAGACUAUCCACCUGACCCGUCUUGAAACACGGACCAAGGAGAGUAACAUGUGCGCGAGUCAUUGGGCGUUACGAAACCCAAAGGCGCAGUGAAAGUAAAGGUUCGGCUUGUCCGAGCUGAGGUGAGAUCCUGUCGUUUCUCACGCGUGGUACUACCAAGCAUCGAGCGGCAGGCGCAUCACCGGCCCGUCCCAUGGCGUGGCAGCCUCGUGCCAGCCUAUCGCCGGGGCGGAGCAUGAGCGUACAUGUUGAGACCCGAAAGAUGGUGAACUAUGCUUGCGCAGGUUGAAGCCAGAGGAAACUCUGGUGGAGGACCGCAGCGAUUCUGACGUGCAAAUCGAUCGUCAAACGUGAGUAUAGGGGCGAAAGACUAAUCG
RNAcentral lists this ribosomal RNA (619 nucleotides) under Philophthalmus aylacostoma. RNAcentral describes it as "partial large subunit ribosomal RNA". It matches the Rfam family "Eukaryotic large subunit ribosomal RNA", at positions 424 to 937 of the family's 3401-position model. The record is from RNAcentral. Lineage: Eukaryota; Metazoa; Platyhelminthes; Trematoda; Plagiorchiida; Philophthalmidae.